RNAcentral lists this ribosomal RNA (330 nucleotides) under uncultured eukaryote. RNAcentral's name for it is "partial 18S ribosomal RNA". It matches the Rfam family "Eukaryotic small subunit ribosomal RNA", at positions 1470 to 1796 of the family's 1831-position model. The record is from RNAcentral.
CCCUUAGAUGUUCGGGGCCGCACGCGCGCUACACUGAAGGAAUCAGCACGUCUUUCUCCUUGUCCGAAAGGACUGGGUAACCCGCUGAACCUCCUUCGUGCUAGGGAUUGGGGCUUGUAAUUCUUCCCCAUGAACGAGGAAUCCCCAGUAAGCGCGAGUCAUAAGCUCGCGUUGAUUACGUCCCUGCCCUUUGUACACACCGCCCGUCGCUACUACCGAUUGGAUGGUUUAGUGAGAUCCUCGGAUUGGUCCCGGAGCGGCCUCUGGUCGUGCCGGAGUGCCGAAAAGAAUGUCGAACUUGAUCAUCUAGAGGAAGUAAAAGUCGUAACA